RNAcentral lists this ribosomal RNA (245 nucleotides) under Escherichia coli. Its description in RNAcentral is "partial 23S ribosomal RNA". It matches the Rfam family "Bacterial large subunit ribosomal RNA", at positions 123 to 374 of the family's 2925-position model. Lineage: Bacteria; Pseudomonadati; Pseudomonadota; Gammaproteobacteria; Enterobacterales; Enterobacteriaceae. The record is from RNAcentral.
GGAACCCACUAGCUACUGGCUAGUAUCCAUAACUGUUAAGGUUAUGAGAAGGAAGACGCAGUGAACUGAAACAUCUAAGUAGCUGCAGGAAGAGAAAGCAAACGCGAUUGCCUUAGUAGCGGCGAGCGAAACGGCAGGAGGGCAAACCGAGAAGUUUACUUCUCGGGGUUGUAGGACUGCGACGUGGGACUUUAAAAGGAUAGAAGAAUUACCUGGGAAGGUAAGCCAAAGAGAGUAAUAGCCUC